Molecule: ribosomal RNA, 624 nt
Filed under: uncultured fungus
Lineage: Eukaryota; Fungi
Description: eukaryotic LSU rRNA
Rfam family: Eukaryotic large subunit ribosomal RNA
Source: RNAcentral
ACCCGCUGAACUUAAGCAAGCGGAGGAAAAGAAAACAACUGUGAUUCCCCCAGUAGCUGCGAGCGAAAAGGGAAGAGCUCAAAACCGAAUCUCCUCGGCUCGUUCCGGGGCGAAUUGUGGUUUAUGGAUCGAAUCUACGGCCGUAAUGCUUGGCGAGGUCUGUUGGAACACGGCGCCAUAGAGGGUGAGAGCCCCGUAGCUGAGCGGAGCGGUCAAUAAGAGUCGACUCCUCGAGUCGCACUGUUUGAGAGCACAGUGCUAAGUGGGAGGUGAGUACCUUCUAAAGCUAAAUAUCAGUCUGAGACCGAUAGCAUACAAGUACCGUGAGGGGAAAGUGCAAAAGAACUUUGAAAAGAGAGUUAAAAGAACCUGAAACCGGUAAUGGGGAAGGGUUCGGGCGAUCCGCGGUUAAUGCCGCCUCACUUUGCCUGGGCAUUGGAUCGGUGCGUUUGGAGCGGAUUUCAUUCGCCUUUAUGUGCCGUGAAUGUGUUUGGGUGGAGGUACUGCGGUAGACCGCCUGGGACUGUUUAUUUGCGCCUCAGAAGCCCCCGAGUAUGGUGCCACGGCCGGAUUACUGGUUUUGGUCAAAUGCUUGGUGCGGUGGAGGUGCGGGUGAACCGCACA